AUUGAACGCUGUCGGCAGGCCUAACACAUGCAAGUCGAGCGGUAGCACAGAGAGCUUGCUCUCGGGUGACGAGCGGCGGACGGGUGAGUAAUGUCUGGGAAACUGCCUGAUGGAGGGGGAUAACUACUGGAAACGGUAGCUAAUACCGCAUAAUGUCGCAAGACCAAAGUGGGGGACCUUCGGGCCUCAUGCCAUCAGAUGUGCCCAGAUGGGAUUAGCUAGUAGGUGGGGUAACGGCUCACCUAGGCGACGAUCCCUAGCUGGUCUGAGAGGAUGACCAGCCACACUGGAACUGAGACACGGUCCAGACUCCUACGGGAGGCAGCAGUGGGGAAUAUUGCACAAUGGGCGCAAGCCUGAUGCAGCCAUGCCGCGUGUGUGAAGAAGGCCUUCGGGUUGUAAAGCACUUUCAGCGGGGAGGAAGGCGGUGAGGUUAAUAACCUCAUCGAUUGACGUUACCCACAGAAGAAGCACCGGCUAACUCCGUGCCAGCAGCCGCGGUAAUACUGAGGGUGCAAGCGUUAAUCGGAAUUACUGGGCGUAAAGCGCACGCAGGCGGUCUGUCAAGUCGGAUGUGAAAUCCCCGGGCUCAACCUGGGAACUGCAUUCGAAACUGGCAGGCUAGAGUCUUGUAGAGGGGGGUAGAAUUCCAGGUGUAGCGGUGAAAUGCGUAGAGAUCUGGAGGAAUACCGGUGGCGAAGGCGGCCCCCUGGACAAAGACUGACGCUCAGGUGCGAAAGCGUGGGGAGCAAACAGGAUUAGAUACCCUGGUAGUCCACGCCGUAAACGAUGUCGAUUUGGAGGUUGUGCCCUUGAGGCGUGGCUUCCGGAGCUAACGCGUUAAAUCGACCGCCUGGGGAGUACGGCCGCAAGGUUAAAACUCAAAUGAAUUGACGGGGGCCCGCACAAGCGGUGGAGCAUGUGGUUUAAUUCGAUGCAACGCGAAGAACCUUACCUGGUCUUGACAUCCACAGAACUUUCCAGAGAUGGAUUGGUGCCUUCGGGAACUGUGAGACAGGUGCCGCAUGGCUGUCGUCAGCUCGUGUUGUGAAAUGUUGGGUUAAGUCCCGCAACGAGCGCAACCCUUAUCCUUUGUUGCCAGCGGUUAGGCCGGGAACUCAAAGGAGACUGCCAGUGAUAAACUGGAGGAAGGUGGGGAUGACGUCAAGUCAUCAUGGCCCUUACGACCAGGGCUACACACGUGCUACAAUGGCAUAUACAAAGAGAAGCGACCUCGCGAGAGCAAGCGGACCUCAUAAAGUAUGUCGUAGUCCGGAUUGGAGUCUGCAACUCGACUCCAUGAAGUCGGAAUCGCUAGUAAUCGUAGAUCAGAAUGCUACGGUGAAUACGUUCCCGGGCAU
Molecule: ribosomal RNA, 1361 nt
Filed under: uncultured bacterium
Lineage: Bacteria
Description: bacterial SSU rRNA
Rfam family: Bacterial small subunit ribosomal RNA
Source: RNAcentral